AAAGGAAUUGACGGGGACCCGCACAAGCAGCGGAGCAUGUGGUUUAAUUCGAAGCAACGCGAAGAACCUUACCAGGACUUGACAUCCUCUUGAAAGCUUGGGUAACUCUAGGCCCUCUUCGGACAAGAGAGACAGGUGGUGCAUGGUUGUCGUCAGCUCGUGUCGUGAGAUGUUGGGUUAAGUCCCGCAACGAGCGCAACCCUUGUCGCUAGUUGCCAGCACGCUUAGGUGGGCACUUUAGCGAGACCGCCGGGGACAACUCGGAGGAAGGUGGGGAUGACGUCAAAUCAUCAUGCCCCUUAUGUUCUGGGCUACACACGUGCUACAAUGGCCGGUACAGAGAGCUGCAAGGCUGCGAAGCUGAGCCAAACUCUAAAACCGGUCCCAGUUCGGACUGCAGGCUGCAACUCGCCUGCACGAAGCAGGAGUUGCUAGUAAUCGCGGAUCAGCACGCCGCGGUGAAUGCGUUCCCGGGUCUUGUACACACCGCCCGU
This 494-nucleotide ribosomal RNA is filed under the name uncultured bacterium. Its description in RNAcentral is "bacterial SSU rRNA". It matches the Rfam family "Bacterial small subunit ribosomal RNA", at positions 903 to 1397 of the family's 1533-position model. The record is from RNAcentral.